UUGCACAAUGGGCGCAAGCCUGAUGCAGCAACGCCGCGUGGGGGAAGAAGGCUCUCGGGUUGUAAACCCCUUUCAGCAGGGACGAAAUUGACGGUACCUGCAGAAGAAGCGCCGGCCAACUACGUGCCAGCAGCCGCGGUAACACGUAGGGCGCAAGCGUUGUCCGGAUUCAUUGGGCGUAAAGAGCUCGUAGGCGGUUCGGUAAGUCGGGUGUGAAAACUUUGGGCUCAACCCAAAGCGUGCACUCGAUACUGCCGUGACUAGAGUCCGGUAGGGGAGCGGGGAAUUCCUAGUGUAGCGGUGAAAUGCGCAGAUAUUAGGAGGAACACCGGUGGCGAAGGCGCCGCUCUGGGCCGAAACUGACGCUGAGGAGCGAAAGCGUGGGUAGCAAACAGGAUUAGAUACCCUGGUAGUCCACGCCGUAAACGUUGGGCACUAGGUGUGGGUCUCAACCAACGAGAUCCGCGCCGUCGCUAACGCAUUAAGUGCCCCGCCUGGGGAGUACGGUCGCAAGACUA
This 518-nucleotide ribosomal RNA is filed under the name uncultured Actinomycetes bacterium. RNAcentral describes it as "bacterial SSU rRNA". It matches the Rfam family "Bacterial small subunit ribosomal RNA", at positions 364 to 896 of the family's 1533-position model. The record is from RNAcentral. Lineage: Bacteria; Bacillati; Actinomycetota; Actinomycetes.